This 301-nucleotide ribosomal RNA is filed under the name uncultured bacterium. RNAcentral's name for it is "partial 16S ribosomal RNA". It matches the Rfam family "Bacterial small subunit ribosomal RNA", at positions 509 to 807 of the family's 1533-position model. The record is from RNAcentral.
CAGCAGCCACGGGAAUACGUAGGGUGCGAGCGUUAAUCGGAAUUACUGGGCGUAAAGCGUGCGCAGGCGGUUGUGUAAGACAGGUGUGAAAUCCCCGGGCUUAACCUGGGAACUGCGCUUGUGACUGCACAGCUAGAGUAUGGCAGAGGGGGGUGGAAUUCCACGUGUAGCAGUGAAAUGCGUAGAGAUGUGGAGGAACACCGAUGGCGAAGGCAGCCCCCUGGGCCAAUACUGACGCUCAUGCACGAAAGCGUGGGGAGCAAACAGGAUUAGAUAUCCGCGUAGUCCCUGUCUCUUAUAC